CCUACGGGAGGCAGCAGUAGGGCAUAUUGCUCAAUGGGGGAAACUCUGAAGCAGCCACGCCGCGUGGAGGAUGAAUGUUUUAGGAUUUUAAACUCCUUUUUUUAGAGAGGUUAAUCACGGUAUCUAUCGCUUAAGCACCGGCUAACUCCGUGCCAGAAGCCGCAGCUAUACGGAGGUUGCAAUCGUAACUCGGAGUCACUGGGCGUAAAGAGCGCGUAGGCGGUAUAGCAAGUCAAAUGUGAAAUCCUACGGCUUAACCAUAGAACUUCAUUUGAAACUGUUAUUCUAGAGUAUGGGAGAGGUAGGUGGGAUUCUUGGUGUAGGGGUAAAAUCCGGAGAGAUCACGAGGAAUACUCAUUGCGAAGGCGACCUGCUAGAACAUGACUGACGCUGAUGCGCGAAAGCGUGGGGAGCAAACAGGAGUAGAUACCCUAGUAGUC
RNAcentral lists this ribosomal RNA (440 nucleotides) under uncultured bacterium. RNAcentral describes it as "partial 16S ribosomal RNA". It matches the Rfam family "Bacterial small subunit ribosomal RNA", at positions 338 to 795 of the family's 1533-position model. The record is from RNAcentral.